RNAcentral lists this ribosomal RNA (469 nucleotides) under uncultured bacterium. Its description in RNAcentral is "bacterial SSU rRNA". It matches the Rfam family "Bacterial small subunit ribosomal RNA", at positions 329 to 794 of the family's 1533-position model. The record is from RNAcentral.
UGCCAGACUCCUACGGGAGGCAGCAGUGAGGAAUAUUGGUCAAUGGGCGGAAGCCUGAACCAGCCAAGUCGCGUGAGGGAAGAAGGCCCUGCGGGUCGCAGACCUCUUUGGACGGGGAGCAAGGCCGCCGACGUGUCGGCGGAAGGAGAGUACCCGUAGAACAAGCAUCGGCUAACUACGUGCCAGCAGCCGCGGUAAUACGUAGGGGGCAAGCGUUAUCCGGAUUUACUGGGUGUAAAGGGAGCGCAGGCGGUAUGGCAAGUCAGAUGUGAAAACCCAGGGCCCAACCCUGGGACUGCAUUUGAAACUGCCAUACUGGAGUGCCGGAGAGGUAAGUGGAAUUCCUAGUGUAGCGGUGAAAUGCGUAGAUAUUAGGAGGAACACCAGUGGCGAAGGCGGCUUACUGGACGGUAACUGACGCUGAGGCUCGAAAGCGUGGGGAGCAAACAGGAUUAGAUACCCGGGUAGU